Molecule: long non-coding RNA, 1289 nt
Filed under: Homo sapiens (human)
Lineage: Eukaryota; Metazoa; Chordata; Mammalia; Primates; Hominidae
Description: HSALNT0057591
Rfam family: Metazoan signal recognition particle RNA (bases 697-844)
Source: RNAcentral
UUUCCACACAGGCGCCGACAGGCAGAAGCAGUUUGGAAACGCAACAUAAAUCCCCCCAAAGCUUAAAGACAAAAAGGAACAUAAGACGAAAGGGAUUGUCAUCGUUUUUGAUAAUGCAUUUUAAAAAAUUUUGUUUACGUGUUACGUUUCCCGAUAAGAUUGUGUCGAAAGUGUGAGACACCAUGUGAAGACGAUUUUUCUCCGCUCAGUUUCAAAGAACUUGCGCAGCGGGAGAAGACCCAAACAUGUGCGUGUGUUUUCGCUUGUGCGUCAGUGUUUCAGAGUUUAUGUGUUUGUACAGUUUGCUCUUAGAAAACAUGCGCAAGGAUCCAUGACCAUGAAUGUCGGGCCUUUGUGGUAAAUGUAGUUCUGCUAUUUAUGCAAUAUGAGUAAAGAAAAUGUAAUUGGCCUGGAAAGGCUCGCCCACAGAAAGACGCAAGUGGCUCGAAGACCCGCAAGUUGUUUUCCUCAUACUCCCUCGGUUGUGUGUCCCACCCCCUAUUUGGGAAACGAAGUAAUAAGGGAGUCCAUUGCUUCGUAACUAUAGCCAUGAGAAGAUGCCUGCUCUGACUUUGCCUUCCACUGUGAAUAAAAGCUUCCUGAGGCCUCCUCAGAAGCAGAUGCUGCCAUGCUUCCUGUACAGCCUGUGGAACUGUGAGCCAAUUAAACUUUUCUUUAUAAAUUAUCCAGUCUCUAGCCAGGUGUGGUGGUGUGUGCCUGUAGUCCCAGCUACUUGGGAGGCUGAGGCAGGAGGAUUGCUUGAGCUCAGGAGUUCGAGGCUGCAGUGAGUUAUAAUUGCACCACUGUACUUCAGCCAGGGCAACAGAGCAAGACCCUGUCUCAAAAAUAAAUAAAUAAAUAAUAAAUUACCCAAUCACAGGUAUUUCUUUGUAGCAGUGAGAGAAUGGACUAAUACACCCUCCAUACCACACCCUACUACUUCACCUCCCUUUCCAACUACUGUAGAAGAUACUCACUGUUAUCAUUUACUAUCUUAUAAGUGCAAAAACUAAAGUUUAAAGAGGUUAAGUAAUUGGCUCAAGGUAUCACAGCUGGUAAACAGAGGCACUGAGAUUUGUUCUCUUUUGGUUUGACCCUAGAACCCUCUCCUAACAUUUUUUUUUUAUUUUGACUCUUGUUUGGCAGAAUAAGUAGCAAGGACACCAUCAUCUUUGCUGAGGAAAGAUGACUAUUAUUAGUAGUAGGCAAGUGGAGAGUCGUCAGUGUUCCAUCAGCUUUUCCCCUGUGUCUCUCAUCCCAUGAAUGAAGAGCAGAUGUGAAAAUUGCUG